RNAcentral lists this ribosomal RNA (253 nucleotides) under uncultured bacterium. RNAcentral describes it as "partial 16S ribosomal RNA". It matches the Rfam family "Bacterial small subunit ribosomal RNA", at positions 524 to 776 of the family's 1533-position model. The record is from RNAcentral.
UACGAAGGGGGCUAGCGUUACUCGGAUUGACUGGGCGUAAAGGGCGCGUAGGCGGUUUGUACAGUCAGACGUGAAAUUCCUGGGCUCAACCUGGGGGCUGCGUUUGAUACGUGCAGACUUGAGUUCGGAAGAGGGUCGUGGAAUUCCCAGUGUAGAGGUGAAAUUCGUAGAUAUUGGGAAGAACACCGGUGGCGAAGGCGGCGACCUGGUCCGAUUCUGACGCUGAGGCGCGAAAGCGUGGGGAGCAAACAGG